CCUACGGGUGGCAGCAGUGAGGAAUAUUGGUCAAUGGCCGGAAGGCUGAACCAGCCAAGCCGCGUGAAGGACGAAGGUGCCAAGCAUUGUAAACUUCUUUUGUCAAGGGACAAAAUCAGGCUCGAGAGCCUGACCGAGGGUACUUGAAGAAAAAGCAUCGGCUAACUCCGUGCCAGCAGCCGCGGUAAUACGGAGGAUGCGAGCGUUAUCCGGAUUUAUUGGGUUUAAAGGGCGCGUAGGCGGGAACUUAAGUUAGAUGUGAAAACUCCGGGCUUAACCUGGAGACUGCAUUUAAAACUGGGUUUCUUGAGGGCAGGAGAGGAGAGUGGAAUUCCUAGUGUAGCGGUGAAAUGCGUAGAUAUUAGGAGGAACACCAGUGGCGAAGGCGACUUUCUGGACUGUACCUGACGCUGAGGCGCGAAAGCAUGGGGAGCGAACAGGAUUAGAUACCCUAGUAGUC
RNAcentral lists this ribosomal RNA (460 nucleotides) under uncultured bacterium. RNAcentral's name for it is "partial 16S ribosomal RNA". It matches the Rfam family "Bacterial small subunit ribosomal RNA", at positions 338 to 795 of the family's 1533-position model. The record is from RNAcentral.